RNAcentral lists this non-coding RNA (25 nucleotides) under Arabidopsis thaliana (thale cress). Lineage: Eukaryota; Viridiplantae; Streptophyta; Magnoliopsida; Brassicales; Brassicaceae. The record is from RNAcentral.
CGCCUAACGGCGUGCCUCGGCAUCA